AGGGAAGCAGGCAGAUCCAGCCUAGUCUAUGGAUGAUUUGCACACGGAACCAAAUCGAGAAGAAAUUGGAUAUCGCCUUACCUGGAUGUUAGCGACCCGACCGGCUGCCAUUAAAGAAGUUCUUUCUUUUGAUCUAAUUUUGAUUUUCCGCAUUAAAGCGAUAAAAAUACACCUGACAUACAUUUAGUUUCCCGGCUAGAAUAACUCUAGUAAACAGCUCGUCAAAGAGUAAACCUGCAAAUAUUCUUUUUCCACAUAUUAUUUUACAAUUUUACUUCAUUGUAUUUGCUUUAAUCAUUUGCAUCAACACAAAAACUAUCCCUAAAAAUGGUUAAAUCAGUGUCAUCCCUCUUUACCUAUAUUGGCAGGUUUCAUGGAUUUUUCAACCCCAGGGAGACGUAAGGCGUUAAGUGGGCACAUUGAAUUUUUAAAUUGUGAAACUUACGUAGUUACAGUAGUUGCAUUAAUAUAUUUUUAUUAGUUUCUUUUUGAGCAAAAAUUAACAUAUACAUUACGAAACUGGCCACCUAUUAGAAGCGUAAACCCAUCCCAAUUUAUUUUCUGAAAAAUAUUGUUUUGGCCGCCAACAUAAUCAAGUUUAAAAUUAAAAGUGAAAUCAUUUAGGCGAUAUGUUUACGAUGAUACUAAACUUUGUUUUCAAUGCCAAAUUGAAUAGGGCGUUUUCAUUUGGUUACACCUGUUUCGAUUGCACUCAAAUAUAACACAUGUUUGUGUUGAAGAUUUUGCUGUCAAGAGUAAAUAAAUGAGUUUAAAAUAUUA
Molecule: long non-coding RNA, 780 nt
Organism: Dendroctonus ponderosae (mountain pine beetle)
Lineage: Eukaryota; Metazoa; Arthropoda; Insecta; Coleoptera; Curculionidae
Exons: 3
Source: RefSeq, a predicted model, not a curated record